AGAGUUUGAUCCUGGCUCAGGAUAAACGCUGGCGGCGUGCCUAACACAUGCAAGUCGAACGCGGUCUCGUGAAAGCGAGAUCGAGUGGCGGACGGGUGAGGAACACGUGGGUUAUCUACCUUGAGGUGAGGAAUACCGGCGAGAAAUCGCCGACAAUACCGCAUAGGUUUCGGAAGAAACAAAGCUGAGAAAUCGGCGCC
This 200-nucleotide ribosomal RNA is filed under the name uncultured bacterium. Its description in RNAcentral is "partial 16S ribosomal RNA". It matches the Rfam family "Bacterial small subunit ribosomal RNA", at positions 8 to 219 of the family's 1533-position model. The record is from RNAcentral.